GGGACACUGGUUGAACUCCUUGGCCAUUCUGUGCCUCGAUAUCCUCUCUCCUGGUGAUGUGGAGAAAAUGUCAAUAGCAGUUAUUCACUGGGUUGCUUCAAAGUUCCUCCGCUGAACCUCAAGAGAGGGUGAGAUAGUUGAAGUCUGGCUUAUAAAUGAAGACAAGAUACUACAGAGGCAUUGAGAGCUUGUUGUAGACAUGACAUCUGGUCAACUCCACUUAUGCUACAACAGGCUCCAUCUUAACCAGCACUAACAGAAGUUAAGAAAACCACAGUGGGAUGCAUUAGUUAAGUCUUCACAAAAAAGAAAAGAGAAAUAAGAUAUCCAAAUGAAGCAGCUGGGAUGAAAUUGGGAUACUUGUUUUUGUUUUGCCAUUUUUUCAUAGGAGACAAAUAUAAAUUGGGUAUAACUAAGCCAGUAUCUGCUGAUACCAUGAUUUCAGAUAUAAAUAUUCAAUGCAGUCUUUUCCCUUCACUAUUUCCUGUUUUUUUCACUUAUGUUGUUUCCUUAUAGCUUUAUCAUCUCUUC
Long non-coding RNA from Canis lupus familiaris (dog), 531 nucleotides. RefSeq lists it as uncharacterized. The transcript is spliced from 3 exons. NCBI's taxonomy places the organism in Eukaryota, Metazoa, Chordata, Mammalia, Carnivora, Canidae. The record is from RefSeq and is a predicted model, not a curated record.